This 92-nucleotide transfer RNA is filed under the name Bacillus phage vB_BanS_Chewbecca. RNAcentral describes it as "tRNA-Ser". It matches the Rfam family "tRNA". Rfam says of the family: Transfer RNA (tRNA) molecules are approximately 80 nucleotides in length. The record is from RNAcentral. Lineage: Duplodnaviria; Heunggongvirae; Uroviricota; Caudoviricetes.
UGGAGGGUUACUCAAGUGGUUUAAGAGGUCGGUCUUGAAAACCGAUAGGCGGUAACACGUGCGAUGGGUUCGAAUCCCUCACCCUCCGCCAU